UCCUGUCAUUAGCAGCCCCAACUUAGAUAGGAGUCUCAGCCAAGUUCAGUGGUGGCUGACUUCUUCUGAGCAAUACCCAGGACGGCAGAAAUGUAGCACCGCCCCGAGCUGGGGUCUGGAGUUGGCGGCACAUGGUGAUCACAGUGCCCAGACCAGCCCGUGGGGCUGCUGUGAAGAUCAAGUGGGUGCUGAGCUCGGCGCCUGAAUUAGGAGGACGUUUGGACACAGACACGCACAGAGGGAAGACAUAGGGAAAGACCACCUGCAAACCAAGGACAGAGGCCUCAGAAGGAACCAAGCCUGCUGGUACCUCGACUUCCACCGACUUCUAGCCUUCCAAGCUGAGGAAAUAAAUGUCUGUUGUUUGAGUCCCCCAGUCCAUGCUAUUCGUCCUGGCCGCCCGAGCAGAUGGAGACGGGGGCAUAGUGAGAGGUACAGAAAGGCACCAGGCCCACAGGUCACGGCCACACACCUCUCGGCAGGCUCCUAUAUUCUCCACCUCUCGUCUCCCACCGGCAGCCCCUGAGGCUUCAAGAGCAGCCUGCCUUCUUCUCCCCUUGGACACAGGCGAUGGGCGGGAGAGAGAAACAGGCCUUGGGAACAAAGGGGUUCUGCCCUCUUCCCACUUCCUUCACGUGUGCUGGGACGCGGGUCAAGUCCUGGUUCUGGCACCUGUUGGAGAAGUCCCGUCACCUCUGUGUCUCGGUUUGUCUCUCUGUGAAAUGGCUCAGCUGACUCCUCAUGUCCCUGCCUGCCUCCAACUCAUCGUAAAAUGCAAGUCAAGUAGCAUUUGUGAAAUCGCUUUGUAAGACUGAAGCCUCAUAUCAAUGUAAUAAGAGCCAGCAAUGGGGUCUUUACCAUUAUUUGGCAUUCUUCUCCGUGUUUCACAUACAUUUCUCAUUUCAUCUUUACAACAGCUCUGUGAGCUUGGCCCUGUAAUUCCCCAUUUUAUAGAUGGGAAAACUGAGGACAAGGAGAUUAAGUAAUUUGCCCAAGACUCCCAGUAAGCUGUGGGGCUGGGAUUCGCCUCCAUGGGUCGAACACGGGUGCUCACACCCUUCAUCAUGUUCUUUAGCUGCCUAUCCGAUACAGUAGCCCGAGGGCCCUCAUAUGUGGCCAAUGUGACAGAGGAACUGAGUAUGUAAUCUAAUUAAAUUUUACCUAAUUGAAAUUAAAAUCUAGAUAGCUCCAUGUGGCUUCUGGCUACCAUAUUAGACAGGCACAGCACCAGGCUACUGCCUCCUGAUUGAGAGGCUCAUGCGACAUUUCAGAUGGCAUGCAGGUGAGUGAGGAGGGGAUUCUCCAGACCCCCACAGCUACUAAGCCAUGUUGCAAUGCACUGCUCCUGGCCUUAAACCCAGGCUUCAAGCCAGCCCAGGCUCUUCCCUGCUGGGCCUGUAGAGAACAGGCUGCCCGCUCGUGAGGAAAGGGGAUUUUUCUGCUGCAGACACCAGACCUCCCAUUUCUCCGAUGGGUCGUGGCAGGGGAGGUUGAGCACCCUUCCUUACUCCCCUUACCCCUCACCCUUUCAGGCCCUGAGUUCUGCUGAGCCAGCAAGAGCGAGAAAAGCCAGAGGGGAAGCAGAGCCCAAGCUGCUUCCCUUCCUCUCUGGGCUGGAAGCUGAGCUGGCCAGCAUUCAAGGCUUAAUUAGCUGAAAUAACGGAAUAAUAAUCUUUAAAAUCAUAGUGGUAAAGCUCAGGCCGCGCUAUUUCUGAUCAUUCAGCCACGUGGCCAUGAGCAUCCCAUUACCAGCUUGGCUGUGCCGAGUUGGCCAGGCUGAGCAGGAUGACUCCAGUGUGCCCUGUUGGGGCUCUCCCCCUGUGAUUUUCUGCGUGAUGGGAGAGGCCAGGUUCAACGUCUUUGGGGGCCUGGCUUGGCAUCUGUGGGACGGAGACGGUACCCACCGAGUGGGACAGUUGUGAGCAAUCAGUGAGAGGCUUUGCAGACCAGAAGAUACUCCCAAAGAACUACAGUUGGCCAGGUGGCACGGACGUCCCAGACAAAGGGACACUGGUACUUGCUGCUGAGUGACCUUGGGCAUGGCACGUCAUGUCUUGCAAGUCUGCUUCCUUCUCUGGAAAACGGAGAACACCCAUCUCUGAGGGCUCUCCGGGAGUAUUGAGGGAGCACGUGUGCAAGCAACGCUGGGCCCAAGUGCCCAGCACACAGCGGAUGCUCCCCAGAUGUCACUUUCCCCCUCUUUGGGGUUUCUCCCGUCUUUCUGCUGGAUCUUUGGAGACCUUCCUAGUUUGCGAUGAGAGGGAAGGACUUGGUCAGGAGGUUGGAAGGAGCUGAUGUUCUAGAAAUAGUUCUCUCCCCUAAUACCUACCAACACUUUUCUGGGUGGUGUGGAGUUUCGGGGUGCCAGGGCCUUUGAGGUUUAGGAAGAGAGCAGAAGAGGCACUGAGCAAGCCCCUUUCGAAGACCUGUCGCGCGCGUUCUUCCCUAGAACCCAGGCGAGGGAAAGGCCUCCAAAGCCAACAAGUUAUUUUCCAUAGAACUAUUAGGUUGGAGGAUACCAUUUUUCUAGGUCAAAAGUUGGCCGAAUAUAAGCAAGACAUGUGAAAUAAAUAAGGCCACUUGACUCGACUUUAAUAAUGUGCUGCUUCUAUGCAUCUAUUUAAGGACGUGAGAAAAAAAAAGUAUAAAUGCUUUAAUAAUGAGAUUUAAAUAGCCUGUCAAAGCACAAGAAAGAGAGAGGUCGUCAGGCAGGAUCUAACUGAUUGCCAAAUAAUUUAUAAGAAAAUGAUGAGUUCAGGAUUUGAGAAGAGGGAGAGGCUACUCCUGAGUAAAUGGGGUGAUGGGCAGAUUAGCAGACGGUGAUGGGGUUUCCGUUUGUGUCUGGAAGGAGGGUUAGCAGCUUCAAUAGGGCAGAGAGAGGGGUCGGAAUGAUGAGAAACAUCAUGACCAAGGUCUGGGGACUCAAUCCCCUGGGCAGGGAGACCAUGUCUGGUAAACUUUUCUGCACCUAACACGGUCCCCGUGACAGAGUGGGUACCAAUAUACAUUGGAUAAAAGAAUGAAUGAAUGAGCAGAGGGAAAAUGUGUGGAGAUGAGUGAGCAGAUCAGUUGUUGGGGGGGCGGGUCAGCGGGAGAUAAAGCUGUCAAGUUUGGUGGUGGGGAGUUCUGAACACAGACAAAGGAGUUUGGGUAGCACUCAGAGGAGACAAGAGUUCCCCACUGUGAAUGCAACAAAUACAUAUUAUGUGUCAAGUUAGUUCUAGAGGUGAGGGAAAAGCCCUAGAGCAUCUCCUAAUUCGCUGCUUUUGAGUUGAUGUGGUCCUGGAAAACAGAGGUCACUCUGACUAGUCCAAAUAAGGUGGAUGACAUUGCAGUCACAAACAACUUUAGAAUCCCAGUGGAUUAAAGCAACGAAGCUUUGUCUCUUGCACAUGCUGUAGUUCCGGCUUGGCUGGAGCAUUACCCCAUGGUAUCUUCAUCUCAGGAUCUGGCUGAUAGGGCGGACUGUAUCUGGGACAUUACUGCUUUAGUAACAGAGGAAAAUAAACCCUGGUAAGCCAUGUGCUGGGUCUCACAGCUUCUGCUUAGAAGUGACACAUUUCCUGGCUGAAGCAAGUCAGAUGGCCAAGCCAGAUGUCAGUGGGGUGGGGAAGCCUAAUUCCUCCUUCCCAGUAAAUCAAAUUGAACAAUAAAAGGGCCAUAGUUUCUUACUGAAAUUCUGUGUAAGGUAAGAGUAAGCGGGCCAGGGAGAUAGAUAAUAAUAGUAGGGAGAGAGAUGAUCUGGGGAUUCAUUCUUGGGUUAAUUUAAAUCUGAAUUUUGUAAUUCCCCCUCCGAGUCUUAGCUGAAUAGAAGCCACUUUUAUGUGUGUAGCCAUUCUUGGUCAGGUUCUGGAUAGUUCUUUAUAGGGUGGGACAGGUUACCUAAUUUGUGGGACCCAGUGCCAGAUGAAAACGUGGAACCCCUUGUUCAAAAAUCAUUAAGAAUUUCCAGACACUAAUCAGAGAAAGACAUGUAUCAUAUGACCUCACUGAUAUGAGGAAUUCUUAAUCUCAGGAAACAAACUGAGGG
This is a long non-coding RNA of Zalophus californianus (California sea lion), 4030 nucleotides long. RefSeq lists it as uncharacterized. NCBI's taxonomy places the organism in Eukaryota, Metazoa, Chordata, Mammalia, Carnivora, Otariidae. The transcript has 4 exons. The record is from RefSeq and is a predicted model, not a curated record.